This 468-nucleotide ribosomal RNA is filed under the name uncultured bacterium. Its description in RNAcentral is "partial 16S ribosomal RNA". It matches the Rfam family "Bacterial small subunit ribosomal RNA", at positions 28 to 507 of the family's 1533-position model. The record is from RNAcentral.
GACGAACGCUGGCGGCGUGCUUAACACAUGCAAGUCGAACGGAAAGGCCCUGCUUUUGUGGGGUGCUCGAGUGGCGAACGGGUGAGUAACACGUGAGUAACCUGCCCUUGACUUUGGGAUAACUUCAGGAAACUGGGGCUAAUACCGGAUAGGAGCUCCUGCUGCAUGGUGGGGGUUGGAAAGUUUCGGCGGUUGGGGCUGGACUCGCGGCUUAUCAGCUUGUUGGUGGGGUAGUGGCUUACCAAGGUUUUGACGGGUAGCCGGCCUGAGAGGGUGACCGGCCACAUUGGGACUGAGAUACGGCCCAGACUCCUACGGGAGGCAGCAGUGGGGAAUAUUGCACAAUGGGCGGAAGCCUGAUGCAGCAACGCCGCGUGCGGGAUGACGGCCUUCGGGUUGUAAACCGCUUUCGCCUGUGACGAAGCGUGAGUGACGGUAAUGGGUAAAGAAGCACCGGCUAACUACGUG